This 444-nucleotide ribosomal RNA is filed under the name uncultured bacterium. RNAcentral's name for it is "partial 16S ribosomal RNA". It matches the Rfam family "Bacterial small subunit ribosomal RNA", at positions 339 to 795 of the family's 1533-position model. The record is from RNAcentral.
CUACGGGCGGCAGCAGUGGGGAAUAUUGCACAAUGGGCGAAAGCCUGAUGCAGCAACGCCGCGUGAGGGACGACGGCCUUCGGGUUGUAAACCUCUUUUAGCAGGGAAGAAGCGAAAGUGACGGUACCUGCAGAAAAAGCACCGGCUAACUACGUGCCAGCAGCCGCGGUAAUACGUAGGGUGCAAGCGUUAUCCGGAAUUAUUGGGCGUAAAGAGCUCGUAGGCGGUUUGUCGCGUCUGCUGUGAAAAUCCGAGGCUCAACCUCGGACCUGCAGUGGGUACGGGCAAACUAGAGUGCGGUAGGGGAGAUUGGAAUUCCUGGUGUAGCGGUGGAAUGCGCAGAUAUCAGGAGGAACACCAAUGGCGAAGGCAGAUCUCUGGGCCGUAACUGACGCUGAGAAGCGAAAGCGUGGGGAGCGAACAGGAUUAGAUACCCCGGUAGUC